GCCUGCAUAUGGUUAAAAAAAAAAGACAAUCCUAUAAAAUCAUAAAAAUUAAAUCUCAUCCUCUGUAAUACCUCUUAGCAGAAAUAACCACUAUUACCAGUUUCUUAUGAAUCCUUCCAAAGAUAUUUGCUGAAUACAUAGACACGUGUGUGAUGGGCGCAUCACACAGCGUGUGUGAUGGGCGAUACACAGCUGGCCUCCUUGUUUUCUACACAAAUGGCAGCAAACUACGUGCUUCUCUGCAUCUGUGUUAUUUUCAUUUUACUUAACAUAGCUAAGGAGAUUUUUAUGAUAUUAAUAUAUACAUCCACACUAUUUUUUUUUUGGCUGAAUCUUACUACCUCUUUUUAAAAACGUGCGAUUCAGCAAUUAUCUAUGUAUGUAUGUAUGUCUGUUUCUUUAUUGGCCCCCUUGCGAGGCAUAUGGGAUC
RNAcentral lists this long non-coding RNA (430 nucleotides) under Bos taurus (domestic cattle). RNAcentral describes it as "long non-coding RNA NONBTAT013863". The record is from RNAcentral. Lineage: Eukaryota; Metazoa; Chordata; Mammalia; Artiodactyla; Bovidae.